This 440-nucleotide ribosomal RNA is filed under the name uncultured bacterium. RNAcentral describes it as "partial 16S ribosomal RNA". It matches the Rfam family "Bacterial small subunit ribosomal RNA", at positions 338 to 795 of the family's 1533-position model. The record is from RNAcentral.
CCUACGGGAGGCAGCAGUGGGGAAUAUUGCACAAUGGGGGAAACCCUGAUGCAGCGACGCCGCGUGAGUGAAGAAGUAAUUCGUUAUGUAAAGCUCUAUCAGCAGGGAAGAAAAUGACGGUACCUGAGUAAGAAGCCCCGGCUAACUACGUGCCAGCAGCCGCGGUAAUACGUAGGGGGCAAGCGUUAUCCGGAUUUACUGGGUGUAAAGGGAGCGUAGACGGGAGUGCAAGUCUGGAGUAAAAGGCGGGGGCUCAACCCCCGGACUGCACUGGAAACUGUACGGCUGGAGUGCAGGAGAGGUAAGUGGAAUUCCUAGUGUAGCGGUGAAAUGCGGAGAUAUUAGGAGGAACACCAGUGGCGAAGGCGGCUUACUGGACUGUAACUGACGUUGAGGCUCGAAAGCGUGGGGAGCAAACAGGAUUAGAUACCCGAGUAGUC